Molecule: transfer RNA, 73 nt
Filed under: Camelus ferus (Wild Bactrian camel)
Lineage: Eukaryota; Metazoa; Chordata; Mammalia; Artiodactyla; Camelidae
Rfam family: tRNA
About the family: Transfer RNA (tRNA) molecules are approximately 80 nucleotides in length. Their secondary structure includes four short double-helical elements and three loops (D, anti-codon, and T loops).
Source: Rfam by way of RNAcentral
GCAGGUAUAGCUUAAGUGGUAGAGCUCAUGCUUAGCAUGCACAAGGACCUGGGUUCAAUCCCCAGGGCCUCCU